GACGAACGCUGGCGGCGUGCUUAACACAUGCAAGUCGAACGGAAAGGCCCUGCUUUUGUGGGGUGCUCGAGUGGCGAACGGGUGAGUAACACGUGAGUAACCUGCCCUUGACUUUGGGAUAACUUCAGGAAACUGGGGCUAAUACCGGAUAGGAGCUCCUGCUGCAUGGUGGGGGUUGGAAAGUUUCGGCGGUUGGGGAUGGACUCGCGGCUUAUCAGCUUGUUGGUGGGGUAGUGGCUUACCAAGGCUGUGACGGGUAGCCGGCCUGAGCGGGUGACCGGCCACAUUGGGACUGAGAUGCGGCCCAGACGCCUACGGGAGGCAGCAGUGGGGAAUAUUGCACAAUGGGCGGAAGCCUGAUGCAGCAACGCCGCGUGCGGGAUGACGGCCUUCGGGGUGUAAACCGCUUUCUCCUGUGACGAAGCGUGAGUGACGGUAAGGGGUAAAGAAGCACCGGCUAACUACG
RNAcentral lists this ribosomal RNA (466 nucleotides) under uncultured bacterium. Its description in RNAcentral is "partial 16S ribosomal RNA". It matches the Rfam family "Bacterial small subunit ribosomal RNA", at positions 28 to 505 of the family's 1533-position model. The record is from RNAcentral.